GCCUGGGUGGCUCAGUUAGUUGAGCGUCUGACUUCGGCUCAGGUCAUGAUCUCGCGGUUCGUGAGUUCAAGCCCCGCGUCGGGCU
RNAcentral lists this transfer RNA (85 nucleotides) under Felis catus (domestic cat). It matches the Rfam family "tRNA". Rfam says of the family: Transfer RNA (tRNA) molecules are approximately 80 nucleotides in length. Their secondary structure includes four short double-helical elements and three loops (D, anti-codon, and T loops). The record is from Rfam by way of RNAcentral. Lineage: Eukaryota; Metazoa; Chordata; Mammalia; Carnivora; Felidae.